Long non-coding RNA from Varanus komodoensis (Komodo dragon), 191 nucleotides. RefSeq lists it as uncharacterized. The record is from RefSeq and is a predicted model, not a curated record. Lineage: Eukaryota; Metazoa; Chordata; Lepidosauria; Squamata; Varanidae. The transcript has 3 exons.
CUCCAGCUUCGGCUGGUCUACCAACUGCAUCCUUACCUGGAUGAGCAGUCCCUAGCAACAGUGAAACAUGCUCUGGUAACUUCCCGCUUGGAUUUCCGCAACACGCUCUACGUGGGGCUGCCUUUGAAAACGGUCCAGAUAUUGCAACUGGUACAGAAUAGAGCUGCCAGGCUGCUGACGGGGUCCAGCCG